GUGCUCGCUUGGGCAGCACAUAUACUAGAACUUGGAACGACACAGAGAAGAUUAGCACUGGCUGCUGUUCAAGGAUGACCCGCAAAUUCAUGAAGCGUUCCAUACUUGA
RNAcentral lists this small nuclear RNA (109 nucleotides) under Neogale vison (American mink). Lineage: Eukaryota; Metazoa; Chordata; Mammalia; Carnivora; Mustelidae. The record is from RNAcentral.